Molecule: ribosomal RNA, 484 nt
Filed under: uncultured bacterium
Lineage: Bacteria
Description: partial 16S ribosomal RNA
Rfam family: Bacterial small subunit ribosomal RNA
Source: RNAcentral
AUUGAACGCUGGCGGCAGGCCUAACACAUGCAAGUCGAGCGGAUGAAGGGAGCUUGCUCCUGGAUUCAGCGGCGGACGGGUGUGUAAUGCCUAGGAAUCUUCCUGGUAGUGGGGGAUAACGUCCGGAAACGGGCGCUAAUACCGCAUACGUCCUGAGGGAGCAAGUGGGGGCUCUUCGGACCUCACGCUAUCAGAUGAGCCUAGGUCGGAUUAGCUAGUUGGCGGGGUAAAGGCCUUCCAAGGCGACGAUCCGUAACUGGUCUGAGAGGAUGAUCAGUCACACUGGAACUGAGACACGAUCCAGACUCCGACGGGAGGCCGCAGUCGGGAAUCUUAGACGAUGGACGAGAGCCUGAUCCAGCCAUGCCGCGUGUGUGAAGAAGGUCUUCGGAUUGUAAAGCAAUUUAAGUUGGGAGGAAGGGCAGUAAGUUAAUACCUUGCUGUUUUGACGUUACCAGCAGAAGAAGCACCGGCUAACUUCGUG